UAGCGGGAGGCUNAAUACAUGCAAGUCGAACGGGAAUAAUAGCUUCGGUUGUUAUUCUAGUGGCGCACGGGUGAGUAACGCGUACGCAAUCUACCUUCAAGAGGGGGAUAGCCCUGGGAAACUGGGAGUAAUACCGCAUAGUUCUGCGAUGAUGCAUAUUGUAGCAGAUAAAGCUGAGGCGCUUGAAGAUGAGCGUGCGUCUUAUUAGGUAGUUGGCGGGGUAACGGCCCACCAAGCCGACGAUCAGUAAGGGGCGUGAGAGCGUGGCCCCUCACACGGGUACUGAGACACGGACCCGACUCCUACGGGAGGCAGCAGUAAGGAAUAUUGGACAAUGGGCGGAAGCCUGAUCCAGCCAUCCCGCGUGCUUGAUGAAGGCCCUCUGGGUUGUAAAGAGC
This 398-nucleotide ribosomal RNA is filed under the name uncultured bacterium. RNAcentral describes it as "bacterial SSU rRNA". It matches the Rfam family "Bacterial small subunit ribosomal RNA", at positions 37 to 433 of the family's 1533-position model. The record is from RNAcentral.